This 515-nucleotide ribosomal RNA is filed under the name Octospora musci-muralis. Its description in RNAcentral is "partial large subunit ribosomal RNA". It matches the Rfam family "Eukaryotic large subunit ribosomal RNA", at positions 106 to 631 of the family's 3401-position model. The record is from RNAcentral. Lineage: Eukaryota; Fungi; Ascomycota; Pezizomycetes; Pezizales; Pyronemataceae.
AGCUCAAAUUUGAAAUCUGGCGUUUCGGCGUCCGAGUUGUAAUUUGGAGGGGCAUCUUCGGUGACGGUGCCGUCCUAUGUUCCUUGGAACAGGACGUCACAGAGGGUGAGAAUCCCGUGCUUGGGCGGUUGCCCGUUGCCAUGUGAAGUGCCUCCGACGAGUCGAGUUGUUUGGGAAUGCAGCUCAAAAUGGGUGGUAAAUUUCAUCUAAAGCUAAAUAUUGGCGAGAGACCGAUAGCGCACAAGUAGAGUGAUCGAAAGAUGAAAAGCACUUUGAAAAGAGGGUUAAAAAGUACGUGAAAUUGUUGAAAGGGAAGCGCUUGAGAUCAAACUCAGUCAUUGGUGAUCAGCCUGGCUUCUGCUCGGUGCACUUGCCUCUGUCUGGGCCAGCAUCGGUUCCGACGGCGGGAAAAACGGCCAGGGAAUGUGGCUCGGCAUCGCCCGAGUGUUAUAGACCUGACCUUUGCCGCCAGUCAGGGACCGAGGACCGCGCCUUCACGGGUUAGGAUGCUGGCG